This is a long non-coding RNA of Fopius arisanus, 2587 nucleotides long. RefSeq lists it as uncharacterized. The transcript is spliced from 4 exons. The record is from RefSeq and is a predicted model, not a curated record. NCBI's taxonomy places the organism in Eukaryota, Metazoa, Arthropoda, Insecta, Hymenoptera, Braconidae.
AGUAGUAGAGUGGGCUAAUGAAAUCGUGAAUAUUCGUUGCAUCAUUUUUAUUUCAGAGGAUUAAAUUGAAGUGUGUUUACUUAAGGUUUAUGUUUUCACCUAGAACAUGCUCGCUGGUUGAUAGAGAUCUUUUUUUUUGUAUCACGUGAUCAAAUUGUGUAACGUAUAAUAGUGAAGUUCAGCAACUGAAGUUGAUCACCGCAGAUAUUUUAUCAGGUGUUCAGGGUCUUCGUUUUUGUGAAGUAACAAAGAAGUUGGCUGUAUUUACAAUGAUGUGGUUCGAAUUUCACAGCCUUUUUAAUAGCAAGUGGAGCAAAAACCAAAGAAUAUUUGACAAUUCGAGACGGUAGUGGCACAUACUGUCUGUCACAUCUAGAGUAUAUUAUCAUAUUUAUUACACGAAGCAAUUGAGGGCAACAUUACUAUUGAAGUGUUGUGUUCCAACCACAUGGUUAUCAUUUUUUGUUUAAAAUUUGGUAUUCAAAUUCCAAGGUAAUUUCCAAAUUUUUCUGAAAAAAAAAAGAUUACAGCUGUCAAUGCCAUUCCUAAAAAAAGUGAAAAAAAUCUGUAGUCCAUCCCCAUAACUGCUUGAUUGUUUGAAAAGAUGUUCUCAUGUUAUCAACGUCAUCCCAAUUAUUCUAUCACACCACUAAAAAAAUUUUAAAAACGAUGAAACACUGGAACAAAUUCCUGACAAUCAUUGGAUGAUUAUUGCUGUAAUUACCGCGCAGUUGGAUUCAUCCCCAAAGAGACUCAAUUUCCGGUGGUGCUGGAGAUAAAAAAAAACAUAAAAAUUUUUCAUUUCCCGCAAGAUCCGAGCGAUCUAGACCGCAUCAGGCCGUCAUGAUUGAUGGUACAAAGGAGUUUCCACAGUAUACAUUCACCACAAGAGUGAAUGCAUGCAAUGUUCAAGCGCGUCCAAUCACUCGCUGCCAGGAACAAUAGAUUGAGCCUCUCCUGCUUCUCUCAAGAGUGUUUCAUACCCAAAACAAAGAAUAAAAAAAAAAUAAAACAGGGGUUCGCUUCUUGUCUCGUCACACCACCCGAUGUAAAUACUGAUUCGCAAUGACUUUCCGUUCAUCUCUCCCUCUUCAUCCAUAAAAGUGGCGUGUGCUUUUCUCCGUGUGAAAGCAAAGCGAUCUCAAACCACAGGAGAGGCUGAACCAGACGAGGGGAAAUGCCAGGGCAAUCAAACAACGCCCAGAGUAAUCAGAGAUGGGACUGGUGUCUAAUCAAGUCAGAGUGAUGCGUCCAUCAAGGAUCCUUCAUUAUUUGGUGUGAAAUCUAAUGGAGGAAGGGGAAACAUCGCGAAAAGAGAGGCCUCCUCGUCAUCGAGAAAGAAACAAAUUAAUCAUCAAUGAUAAAGGGACAGCAGACCGAGGGGCAAAUGAGUGACGUGUUCCGGGCGAGCGACACAAUCGCUCUCCAUUGUGGUGUCACCUAUACGUCUGGAGCUUUUAUGAUGCCGCGCGUGAACUCAGAGGUUCGGGGGCUUCCUCACUUGCUGAUUUGAUUUAUGAGGAGUAAUUGCACGUGGUUCGCUUGGCAUCAUCGCCUAUAAGCCUCUUGCUUUCAAUAAUUGGAGCCUCCAGGCGGAUGGGGAACACGCCUUGGUAACUGCCAAGUGUCUGCUCUCUUCACACUGGGAUUAUGACGAAAAAUUGCCAGAUCAACUAUCAGGGGUUGUAAUUGAAUAUAUUUUUUCAGGGUCGUUGAGAGUUCCGUUGAAAAAUUUCCAGAAUUUGUGAGUAGAACGAGCAGUGUAAAAUUCUGCACAACUGUGGAAUAGCCCUUGCCAUCGAACCACUCGACAUCUGAGUCUGCACGGUUAUUUGAGUUUGCUCUGGCCAAGUGCAUAAGAGGAUAACCGCGAAGGAGAAAAUCACGUUUGAAUUGCAGCUAACCUCCACCUAUCCCCAGCAAACUCGUCCACCAUCGCCACAACGUCGGCUUAUUUAUUCCCGGAAAUGCCUGAGCAGCGAUUUGUUAAGCAAUUGUUAGGUACCCCUUUUCACUCUGGAAUUGCCCCCCAUCCUCAUCGACAAACACUGGUUUUCCCGGUGCAUACAGAAUCAUAGAGACCGAAUGGCACGAUGGGAACGCGACCGAGACUCUCAUCGAGCUCCUGAAUAAUACAAAUGUCUAAACUACCGCUCCACAACUUCCUCACAUUUCUGUUCUCGUUUUCUCAACGCUCACGAUGAUUCAUCUCCUUUUAUUUAUUUACAUACGCUUUUUCUCUCACAAUGUAUCUUGAAACGGCUGUGCAUUCUGCCAAUCAUUGCAUACCAGGCGAUAUUAAAAGUCUCAUACCGGAAAGCCAUCCAGAGUCCUGCGAUGGGGGCCAAAUGCCAAGAGAGAUCGCUGACAGUUAGGAGGUAUCAUAAAUCCUCGAAACAGCUUCACCACGCUGGGAAGCUACCGAACAUUCCUUCAGAUGUCAUCCAUCACUAAAAAAUAUUCCGGAGAUGACGCGACUACAGCCAACACUCUUGAAAUAUGUGCGAACAUCAUGCAUUUUGGAAAGGAACGGAAAUAUCUCCGAAAUUGGUGAGGAGUUGUGAAAUAAAAUAUAUCUGACCUCUCA